RNAcentral lists this ribosomal RNA (1080 nucleotides) under Bacillus safensis. RNAcentral describes it as "bacterial SSU rRNA". It matches the Rfam family "Bacterial small subunit ribosomal RNA", at positions 69 to 1134 of the family's 1533-position model. Lineage: Bacteria; Bacillati; Bacillota; Bacilli; Caryophanales; Bacillaceae. The record is from RNAcentral.
CAGAAGGGAGCUUGCUCCCGGAUGUUAGCGGCGGACGGGUGAGUAACACGUGGGUAACCUGCCUGUAAGACUGGGAUAACUCCGGGAAACCGGAGCUAAUACCGGAUAGUUCCUUGAACCGCAUGGUUCAAGGAUGAAAGACGGUUUCGGCUGUCACUUACAGAUGGACCCGCGGCGCAUUAGCUAGUUGGUGGGGUAAUGGCUCACCAAGGCGACGAUGCGUAGCCGACCUGAGAGGGUGAUCGGCCACACUGGGACUGAGACACGGCCCAGACUCCUACGGGAGGCAGCAGUAGGGAAUCUUCCGCAAUGGACGAAAGUCUGACGGAGCAACGCCGCGUGAGUGAUGAAGGUUUUCGGAUCGUAAAGCUCUGUUGUUAGGGAAGAACAAGUGCGAGAGUAACUGCUCGCACCUUGACGGUACCUAACCAGAAAGCCACGGCUAACUACGUGCCAGCAGCCGCGGUAAUACGUAGGUGGCAAGCGUUGUCCGGAAUUAUUGGGCGUAAAGGGCUCGCAGGCGGUUUCUUAAGUCUGAUGUGAAAGCCCCCGGCUCAACCGGGGAGGGUCAUUGGAAACUGGGAAACUUGAGUGCAGAAGAGGAGAGUGGAAUUCCACGUGUAGCGGUGAAAUGCGUAGAGAUGUGGAGGAACACCAGUGGCGAAGGCGACUCUCUGGUCUGUAACUGACGCUGAGGAGCGAAAGCGUGGGGAGCGAACAGGAUUAGAUACCCUGGUAGUCCACGCCGUAAACGAUGAGUGCUAAGUGUUAGGGGGUUUCCGCCCCUUAGUGCUGCAGCUAACGCAUUAAGCACUCCGCCUGGGGAGUACGGUCGCAAGACUGAAACUCAAAGGAAUUGACGGGGGCCCGCACAAGCGGUGGAGCAUGUGGUUUAAUUCGAAGCAACGCGAAGAACCUUACCAGGUCUUGACAUCCUCUGACAACCCUAGAGAUAGGGCUUUCCCUUCGGGGACAGAGUGACAGGUGGUGCAUGGUUGUCGUCAGCUCGUGUCGUGAGAUGUUGGGGUUAAGUCCCGCAACGAGCGCAACCCUUGAUCUUAGUUGCCAGCAUUCAGUUGG